GUGACAGAGUUUCCAGGGCAAGCGUUCAACACAAAUAAUAUUAAAUUAUCUCUUAAUACAUUUUACAGAUUUACAAGAUAUGCACAGGAUACUGAAAUUACAAUAUUAUUUUUAGAAGAACAAAUAGUGUUACUUUAUAAACCCACAUUUUCUGUUCAUUACUCCCAGGUUUCGGUGUUUUACAGGGACACUACAGUCACCAAACCUACUACAACUUAGUGUAGUGGUUCUGGUGUCUAUAGCAUGUCCCUGCAGCCGUGGCACUGUAAACACUGCCUUGUCAGAGAAAAGGCAGUGUUCGCAUUGCUGGUUAGUUACACCUCUAGUGUCAAUCACUCAGACGACCACUAGAGGUGCUUCACAGUGCAGCAUCUACGUUCAACUUCUCCAUGCUCUGCAUUGAUUCACUGCAUCUCUAUGAGGAGAUGUUGAUUGGUACAGCGCAGCUUUUUGCCAUGCAUGAAAGCAUUGGAUUGGCUGAAAUCACCAAGACUGAGGAUCUCAGCCACAAAGGUGGGUCCAAGCAAAGCCAGCCACAGCAAAAUCAGCACAGCAUGGUAGGAAAGGUAAGUAAAAUCAACUUUAAUCUCUGAAGAGAGGAGGCCUAGAGACCUAAUGCAAAAUUCAAGCACUACAGUAUCACUAUAGUGCUUCUCUUUAACCUCUGGAAAUACAACUGCUUAUAUUGUCAGGUCUGGUAGUUGUAGUUCAGCCGUUAGCAUUCUACAGUAGAAAGCUAACAUUUGAACUACAACUCACAGCAAGCCUUGCUGUACCCAUAAAGCACUUCUUAUGGGAUAAGCUUAGACGUUUUAAAAAAAAGGUAAUCGAGCAGCACUUAUCACGUUUCACAUGGCAUAUUGCAUGGGCAUUUGAAACAAAUGUAGAAAUCUCAAAUGUAUAAUUUAAAAAAAAAAAAUUAUUAUUCUUACUAUUGUUAAUGUACUAUCUGUAUAAUGCAUUUACAAAAUAAUAGGGCAUAUUCAGCCUGUAGUAGUUUCCAUUCAUGAGCUAUUUCGCCUCCAUUAGAAGUGCUCAUGUUAUUGUCUUGUGUGGCAAAUUCUAACUCCAACUUCUUCAUAUUAGCUUCGGGCAUAGAAGGAGCACAGUGUUUGGCCGCGCAUGCUUACUACCAUCAGUCCUUCUAUAUGAGAGGCAUUGGACUGGAAAAGAUUGAAAAGACAUGAGCAGGCAUACUAACGUCUUCAAAGGUGGAAGGGAUGGCUGCAGUGGAGGAGUCCUGAAAUUGGAAAAGAGGUGAGUAGCCUCUUUUUACUUGUUUUUUUUUAAUGCCAAUGGAGGGUGCACAGUACAAUCACUUAGUCCAUUCAUGUCACUUUGAUUGCUGUAGUGGUUAUAGUACCAGGAGUCUUCUGAGACCGACUGCAGGACCCAUCGCACCUUCCCGACAGGGAAGACCCUGGACCUCACUGGACCCCAAACUCGUGGCAAAAGGGUGCCAGCUCUCACAUAGUACCGGGGCCGGAGUGGUGCCUCUCCUCCACGAUGUCACGCUUUCCCCCCAAUUGGACUGAGCUCAAGCACAAGAAAUAACCCUCGCAGGGGUGUUGGAUGACUGUUCACUUACCGCUCACUUGGCUGGGCAACCCGCAACCUGGGUCCAAAGAAACACCGACAAGGACUCACUCAAAUAUUAGCAAGGAGACAUGCAUUAACCUGUGUUAAUGAUAUGUAUAUCUCUCCCGCUUUUACCUUUAUUUUCAUGUUUCACUAUCACACUUUAUUCUCACACUUAUAAUACUAUAAAAUGUGCAAGUCCUAUCUAUUCCCCAUUACACAAUGCAAUGCUAAUCCUGAGGAAUGCCUUUGGGGUACCUCAAGCCUGUUUGUAAUACUCUUUGCACGACAAAAAUCUAAAAUAAAAUACAUUUUUUUUAAAAAAAUGAAUAGUCACCCAGACCACUUAAUGUCAAUGAAGUGGUCUGGGUGCAGUGAUACUGUCAUUUUAACUCUGCAAUUUAAAUGAUUGUGGUUUUUUUUUUCUCCAGAAACUGCAGUGUUUACAUUUCAGGGUUUAAUACACUUUUGAUUCCCAGACUUAAUAAUGAUUGCUAUUUUCAGGACUAUAGGUUUCCUUUAAUUUUAAGGUUUUAUUCCAAGGUGUUAUUUCCGUAGAAGUGCCAGUUCCAAUUUAAAUAUACGAUUCUGAUUGGGAAAUAUUCUAUUUCAUUACAUGGGUUUGUUAAAUAAAUUAAUGAAUGUUUAAUGAAUGAAUGCUGAGAUCUUGGCCAUUACCUAUUAGGGAUUGUGUCGCUCUGUAUGUAUAGUGGAAUUCCCAUACAUUGGGCUUGAUAAAGCCCCUGUCCGGUUUGCUAGGCACAAAAUAAAAGUUAGAUGCCUGAGAAGAUAAUUUUUAGAAAGCAGAGGGACUAGCAGUGUUCCUCAACCCAAUCCUCAUGGCCCACCAAAAAUCUAUCAUGGCUAACCAUCACUAACUUAGUACUAAUACACAAAAUAAGUCCUGCACUCAGACUCCCACUACUCCUGGGCUGCAGCCAUGACCAUAGUACAGAUCAGCCUCAAUCUGUAAAAUAAGAAAAGACUUACCUGCUCACUACUCCGUAUCCCUGUGGAUAUUUAAAUGGAAGCUUUUUUGUAGCACUUUUUGUAAGCCCACUUGCUACGGCAAGGCAGACCUCUUAGGUGGGUCCUACACUAACAAUUCACCUUCCUUCCUUCAGCUUUAGGCAAACAAAUAUCUAAUGAGAUAGAGAGGGGGAUUUUUCUAAACCCCUACAUACUUAUUAAUCCUUAAUAGGGAGCACAUGGGGUGAGCGGCAGAAUUGUUAGUGUAGAACCUACCUAAGAGGUUUGCCUUGAUGUGACAGGUGGACUUACACCUAAUGGGCAUUGGACUGAAACGAAAAAACAACUUAGUACUGCCAAACUAGAAUCCAGCACAGAGAAACACUCAACAGACAUUUAACGCUUGCCAUGCUAUCAUUCUCUUGUGACAUUUAUGAAUUCUGUAUUCUGUUAGUAAGGCCAUGUGUGCAGUUCAUGUCAGGUUGCUGUUUCAUGUUUCGUCUGAUAAAAUCCAGCGCUCUGAAAACCAAAAUGGUGUAGUGGCAACAGUUGAAGAUAGGAAGAAAUAAAAUGUGAGACCAUCCCAGCAUCUCAUUCAGGUAGAUUGAACGCUAUAAAUGCUAUAAGUUACUUUGCCAUUUAACGUUGGAUGUUUUACUAUUUUCCCAUAUUUUAAGCAUUAAGUCGUCGCUGAAUGCAUUGGAGCUAUGGCAGUACAAAGGUUAACUUCACAAUUAUCUACACAGGGCCUUAAAUAUGGAAUCAUUUCUUGAAGUGGUGGUCUUGCAUCCAGCUAUCGGCGAAUAAGAAGAGAAAGGCAUAUUUGUUUUUUGGAAUGGAGAGUGACAUUUGGAAUGGUCUCCCGAGUUAGAUGAACUAAUAAGGUAUUUGUGCAAUAAAUAAAAAUACACCUCCUUUCGGGAGGGGUGUGUGUACAACAAAGUGCUAAAAUAAAUAAGCGGCAGCAGCUCUGUACACUUGUGUGGAAAUAUCCUCUUAUCCACACCAAAAAUGCCAAAUCUUUUAGAGGGUGUAAGUAGAAACCUACGUCUUUAAGUGGAGCGCUAGAUAGUUUUUGUGCGUAGGUGAGGUAAACUUACCCCAUGUAACUUUGCUAAAAGCUUGAUUUGAAAUACAUAUAAAAGAUAAAAAAUACAAUAUAGUGCAAAAUGUUUUAUCUUUAAAAUAUACCCUACAACGAAUUGGAGGUGUGAUGCUGCCUUAAAAGCAUAAAAGCUCGAUUACGGAGCCAGUAUUUAUACACGGGCUCCUUUAAAUGUGAGUGUCCUGAUAUCACCAUCACCUAUUUUAUCUCAUUCCACGUGCCAUCUGCACUAUAAUGUAUUUUUUUAUCUUUUAUAUGUAUCUCAAGUCAAGUUUUUAACCAAUUAUGUGGAGUAAGUUUACCUCACCUAUGCACAAAACGUAUCUAGCGCUCCACUUAAAGGUGUAGGUUUCUACUUACACCUUCUAAAAGAUAAUAAGGUAUUUGUAUUUAACCGUUGUGAGCGCAGAUCACCCAGCUAGCACACCACUGGUUAAACUGGUCUGUAUUGACAUGAAGUCUCAAGGGCAAGCCACGGGCCUUACUUUCAAG
This is a non-coding RNA of Pelobates cultripes (western spadefoot toad), 4144 nucleotides long. Lineage: Eukaryota; Metazoa; Chordata; Amphibia; Anura; Pelobatidae. The record is from the annotation of a GenBank genome assembly.